CGGGGGCCCGCACAAGCGGUGGAGCAUGUGGUUUAAUUCGAUGCAACGCGAAGAACCUUACCUGGUCUUGACAUCCACAGAAGUUUCCAGAGAUGGGAAUGUGCCUUCGGGAACUGUGAGACAGGUGCUGCAUGGCUGUCGUCAGCUCGUGUUGUGAAAUGUUGGGUUAAGUCCCGCAACGAGCGCAACCCUUAUCCUUUGUUGCCAGCGGUCCGGCCGGGAACUCAAAGGAGACUGCCAGUGAUAAACUGGAGGAAGGUGGGGAUGACGUCAAGUCAUCAUGGCCCUUACGANCCAGGGCUACACACGUGCUACAAUGGCGCAUACAAAGAGAAGCGACCUCGCGAGAGCAAGCGGACC
Molecule: ribosomal RNA, 360 nt
Filed under: Shigella flexneri
Lineage: Bacteria; Pseudomonadati; Pseudomonadota; Gammaproteobacteria; Enterobacterales; Enterobacteriaceae
Description: bacterial SSU rRNA
Rfam family: Bacterial small subunit ribosomal RNA
Source: RNAcentral